RNAcentral lists this ribosomal RNA (480 nucleotides) under uncultured bacterium. RNAcentral's name for it is "bacterial SSU rRNA". It matches the Rfam family "Bacterial small subunit ribosomal RNA", at positions 30 to 490 of the family's 1533-position model. The record is from RNAcentral.
AUUGAACGCUGGCGGCAGGCCUAACACAUGCAAGUCGAGCGGAAACGAGUUAUCUGAACCUUCGGGGAACGAUAACGGCGACGAGCGGCGGACGGGUGAGUAAUGCCUGGGAACAUGCCUUAGUGUGGGGGAUAACCAUUGGAAACGAUGGCUAAUACCGCAUAACGUCUACGGACCAAAGAGGGGGAUCUUCGGACCUCUCGCGCUAAGAUUGGCCCAGGUGGGAUUAGCUAGUAGGUGGGGUAAAGGCUCACCUAGGCGACGAUCCCUAGCUGGUCUGAGAGGAUGAUCAGCCACACUGGAACUGAGACACGGUCCAGACUCCUACGGAGCAGCAGUGGGGAAUAUUGCACAAUGGGCGCAAGCCUGAUGCAGCCAUGCCGCGUGUGUGAAGAAGGCCUUCGGGUUGUAAGCACUUUCAGUCGUGAGGAAGGUGGUGUAGUUAAUAGCUGCAUUACUUGACGUUAGCGACAGAAGAAG